RNAcentral lists this ribosomal RNA (564 nucleotides) under uncultured bacterium. RNAcentral describes it as "bacterial SSU rRNA". It matches the Rfam family "Bacterial small subunit ribosomal RNA", at positions 338 to 916 of the family's 1533-position model. The record is from RNAcentral.
CCUACGGGAGGCAGCAGUGGGGAAUCUUGCACAAUGGGCGAAAGCCUGAUGCAGCAACGCCGCGUGCGGGAAGAAGGCCCUAGGGUUGUAAACCGCUUUCAGUAGGGAAGAAAAUGACGGUACCUACAGAAGAAGGUGCGGCCAACUACGUGCCAGCAGCCGCGGUGACACGUAGGCACCAAGCGUUAUCCGGAUUUAUUGGGCGUAAAGAGCUCGUAGGCGGUUCGGUAAGUCGGGUGUGAAAACUCUGGGCUCAACCCAGAGAGGCCACCCGAUACUGCUGUGACUAGAGUGCGGUAGGGGAGCGGGGAAUUCCUGGUGUAGCGGUGAAAUGCGCAGAUAUCAGGAGGAACACCAGCGGCGAAGGCGCCGCUCUGGGCCGUAACUGACGCUGAGGAGCGAAAGCAUGGGUAGCAAACAGGAUUAGAUACCCUGGUAGUCCAUGCCGUAAACGUUGGGCACUAGGUGUGGGUCUCAACCAACGAGAUCCGCGCCGUCGCUAACGCAUUAAGUGCCCCGCCUGGGGAGUACGGUCGCAAGACUAAAACUUAAAUGAAUUGACGG